Non-coding RNA from Ochotona princeps (American pika), 437 nucleotides. Lineage: Eukaryota; Metazoa; Chordata; Mammalia; Lagomorpha; Ochotonidae. The record is from the annotation of a RefSeq genome assembly.
GCAGGAGUCAGUGCCUGUCAGGACACAGCAUAGACAUGAGGGCCCCUGCUCAGCUCCUGGGCCUCCUGCUGCUCUGGCUCCUAGGUGCCAGAUGUUCCGGCCAAACAAUAACCCAGACUGAAUCCCCGGUGUCUGCAAAUGUGGGAGGCACAGUUACCAUCAAUUGCCAGUCAAGUCAGAGUGUUUACUACAGCAAUGCUCUAGCCUGGUAUCAGCAGAAACCAAGGCAGCCUCCGAAGCUCCUGAUCUAUGGUGCAUCCAAUUUAGCCUCUGGGGUUCCUGACAGGUUCGAGGGCAGUGGAUUUGGGACAUCAUUCACUCUCACCAUCAGCGGGGUGCAGGCUGUGGAUGUUGGAACCUACUACUGUCUUGGGUUUUAUUAUACUAGUGGUUGUUUGACUCCCACAGUGAUACAAGCCUGAACAAAAACCUCCCAG